This 327-nucleotide unclassified non-coding RNA is filed under the name soil metagenome. RNAcentral describes it as "partial contains 5.8S ribosomal RNA, internal transcribed spacer 2, and large subunit ribosomal RNA". The stretch from base 1 to 119 matches the Rfam family "5.8S ribosomal RNA", at positions 35 to 154 of the family's 154-position model. The record is from RNAcentral.
GAUGAAGAACGUAGUGAAAUGCGAUAAGUAAUGCGAAUUGCAGAAUCCGUGAGUCAUCGAAUCUUUGAACGCACAUUGCGCCCCUUGGUAUUCCGAGGGGCAUGCCUGUUCGAGCGUCAUUAUAACCCCUCAAGCUCAGCUUGGUGUUGGGGCCUGCCGCACGGGCAGCCCUUAAAAUCAGUGGCGGUGCCAUCUGGCUCUAAGCGUAGUAAUUCUUCUCGCUAUAGAGUCCCGGUGGAUGCUUGCCAUUAACCCCCAAUUUUCUAUGGUUGACCUCGGAUCAGGUAGGGAUACCCGCUGAACUUAAGCAUAUCAAUAAGCGGAGGA